GGGAAUCGCCUCCAGGGCAAAGAUUUAAGGCUCAGAAAGGUGGAACACAGAAAACUUUCUGUUCCGUUGUGAAAAGGAAGGUUAUAUUAGAAUCUAAAUGAAACAGACAAGCCUGGGCUAUUUGGUAAGGCUAAAAAGACACACUGAGAACAGACACUGUGGAGAGAUUUGAGUUUGGUGAGAUUUUUAACCCCAAGGUCUGAUGCUACUGGAGACAGGAGAAUCCAUAUUUAAAUGGAAAAUUUAAUAUCUGAUUGCUUUUUCAGGCGAAGUGCCCCUUUAUAUAUCCAAAAACAUCUAUUUGUGACCUUAAACAUGUGGACCCAUAGGUGCAGUUAGAAAAAGACAACCUAUUUUUAUUUAUGUUAGAAGGAGUAGAGUAUUUUUUUCAGACAUUUAUUUUUCAGAGUGGUGAUAAUUUUACUUUGGAUACUCUGUGCCAAUUUAUUUAUAGUCAAGUGUUUACACUUUCUCCUUGUGGAAUAAUUAUGUCUAACUUUUUAAGGUGUUUGUUGAGAUUAUACUGUGGUCUUUCUUUUUGCUCUAAUUAUAUUGCACUUGUAUAACAAAUUUCCCACACCUCCCUGUUUCUAAACAUAUUUUAUAUAUUAAGAUGUUUGUUGGUUCUUUUAUUGUGAGAUCAGCAACUCUAGCACUUCACUAUUAUAGUUUUUUAAAAAGUAAGCAUUGUUAUCCUUAUCCGUAGUUAUGUCUGAAAAGUACAUUGCGAACCGUUUAAAAGGAGAGUAGCUUCUUUGUGUGUGUGUGCGCGUGUGAUGUUUGUGUGUGGGAUGGUUUUAGGAAAUUAAGUUAUUUUCCUAAAAAA
This 826-nucleotide long non-coding RNA is filed under the name Bos taurus (domestic cattle). RNAcentral describes it as "long non-coding RNA NONBTAT018110". The record is from RNAcentral. Lineage: Eukaryota; Metazoa; Chordata; Mammalia; Artiodactyla; Bovidae.